This 697-nucleotide ribosomal RNA is filed under the name Corella melvinii. RNAcentral's name for it is "eukaryotic LSU rRNA". The stretch from base 262 to 415 matches the Rfam family "5.8S ribosomal RNA". Lineage: Eukaryota; Fungi; Basidiomycota; Agaricomycetes; Agaricales; Hygrophoraceae. The record is from RNAcentral.
GGAAGUAAAAGUCGUAACAAGGUUUCCGUAGGUGAACCUGCGGAAGGAUCAUUAACGAACUUUCGAAGGACGCCAGUUGCUGCUGGGCUUCUCAGAAGUCAACGUGCACACGGUUCUUUCUUCUUGUUCAACCAAUCUACCCCUCUCUGUGCACCCCUCGUAGGCUGAGAUCCCUCGGCCUACGCUCUUCCCACAAAGCAUCCCAAAUUUAUCAGUGAAUGGGCAACCGUUCGAGCCUUGUCUCGACGAAGCAGCAUCUAUAACUUUCAACAACGGAUCUCUUGGCUCUCGCAUCGAUGAAGAACGCAGCGAAAUGCGAUAAGUAAUGUGAAUUGCAGAAUUCAGUGAAUCAUCGAAUCUUUGAACGCACCUUGCACCCCUUGGUACUCCGAGGGGUAUGCCUGUUUGAGUGUCAUCAGACCAUCAACCCGGAAAAGCUUUUGAAGCUCACCGGCGCUUGGAGCUUGCGGCGUGCGGGGAAAGGCUCUCGCGAGCUUCCGCUCCUCGCGGAAUACAUCAGCGGAUGUCCAGUUGCGGUCCGGCUUUGGCGUGAUAACUGUCUUACGUCCUGGCAGGGGGUCGCGUGCCUUGGCUCUGCUUCGAACACUCACCGCUCUUGCGGCGGAAUGAUUGACGAACUUGACCUCAAAUCAGGUAGGAUUACCCGCUGAACUUAAGCAUAUCAAUAAGCGGAGGA